GAUGAACGCUGGCGGCGUGCUUAAUACAUGCAAGUCGAACGAAGCACCUUGGACAGAAUCCUUCGGGAGGAAGACCAUUGUGACUGAGUGGCGGACGGGUGAGUAACGCGUGGGUAACCUGCCUUGUACAGGGGGAUAACAGUUGGAAACGACUGCUAAUACCGCAUAAGCGCACAGUACCGCAUGGUACGGUGUGAAAAACUCCGGUGGUACAAGAUGGACCCGCGUCUGAUUAGCUAGUUGGUGAGGUAACGGCCCACCAAGGCGACGAUCAGUAGCCGACUUGAGAGAGUGAUCGGCCACAUUGGGACUGAGACACGGCCCAAACUCCUACGGGAGGCAGCAGUAGGGAAUAUUGCACAAUGGGGGAAACCCUGAUGCAGCGACGCCGCGUGAAGGAAGAAGUAUUUCGGUAUGUAAACUUCUAUCAGCAAGGAAGAAAAUGACGG
This 449-nucleotide ribosomal RNA is filed under the name uncultured bacterium. RNAcentral's name for it is "bacterial SSU rRNA". It matches the Rfam family "Bacterial small subunit ribosomal RNA", at positions 28 to 457 of the family's 1533-position model. The record is from RNAcentral.